This 551-nucleotide unclassified non-coding RNA is filed under the name Agrilus planipennis (emerald ash borer). RNAcentral describes it as "ras-related protein Rab-31, transcript variant X1". Lineage: Eukaryota; Metazoa; Arthropoda; Insecta; Coleoptera; Buprestidae. The record is from RNAcentral.
AAUAAUUAAUUUCUGGUUCUUUGCUUGCUAAACUAUCUGAAGCAGAGUUUGAUAUUUGCGCAGUAUUGUGCACAGAUACAAAGAAAAAUACUUAAAUCCUUUUCUGAACAACGUGCUUCAUUGUACAGAUCCGGCUUAAGUACAAUCUUUAUCAAAACCUCAGCGUGACAUGUAUUUGUAUGUAUACCACAAAUAAAAAAAUAAGUAAGUAAAAAUGUAUAAUAAAUGAGCAUUCAAUUGUCUAUAAAUAUUUCACAACAAAGAAAAUAAAUUAGUCCACUUGUUCCACUAUCUCGGUUUCCCACACGUGACUGUUGUGUUUUUAAUGAUAACAAAAAGUCACUUUUAUAAAUAGAGUUAGAGGAAAAUAUUCAAUAUACAAUCAUUGGUAGUCGAGAUCUAAACGUCGUUGAAUUAUUUGGUAGAUUGCCCCUAUUUUAGUUUCUUUUUUUUUGGAACGUCACAGGGGCAUUGACCAAAUAUUCAGCGAUGUUGCCAGGAAGUUAAUUCAAAUUUCCGGCAUGGUACCAUCGUACAGCGAGUCAGAUAAC